RNAcentral lists this ribosomal RNA (652 nucleotides) under Streptococcus salivarius. Its description in RNAcentral is "bacterial SSU rRNA". It matches the Rfam family "Bacterial small subunit ribosomal RNA", at positions 369 to 1011 of the family's 1533-position model. The record is from RNAcentral. Lineage: Bacteria; Bacillati; Bacillota; Bacilli; Lactobacillales; Streptococcaceae.
CAAUGGGGGCAACCCUGACCGAGCAACGCCGCGUGAGUGAAGAAGGUUUUCGGAUCGUAAAGCUCUGUUGUAAGUCAAGAACGAGUGUGAGAGUGGAAAGUUCACACUGUGACGGUAGCUUACCAGAAAGGGACGGCUAACUACGUGCCAGCAGCCGCGGUAAUACGUAGGUCCCGAGCGUUGUCCGGAUUUAUUGGGCGUAAAGCGAGCGCAGGCGGUUUGAUAAGUCUGAAGUUAAAGGCUGUGGCUCAACCAUAGUUCGCUUUGGAAACUGUCAAACUUGAGUGCAGAAGGGGAGAGUGGAAUUCCAUGUGUAGCGGUGAAAUGCGUAGAUAUAUGGAGGAACACCGGUGGCGAAAGCGGCUCUCUGGUCUGUAACUGACGCUGAGGCUCGAAAGCGUGGGGAGCGAACAGGAUUAGAUACCCUGGUAGUCCACGCCGUAAACGAUGAGUGCUAGGUGUUGGAUCCUUUCCGGGAUUCAGUGCCGCAGCUAACGCAUUAAGCACUCCGCCUGGGGAGUACGACCGCAAGGUUGAAACUCAAAGGAAUUGACGGGGGCCCGCACAAGCGGUGGAGCAUGUGGUUUAAUUCGAAGCAACGCGAAGAACCUUACCAGGUCUUGACAUCCCGAUGCUAUUUCUAGAGAUAGAA